UUGAGGGUCCUAAAGGGCCGUUGGAGACCACAACGUUGAUAGGUGGGGUGUGUAAGCGCGGCGACGUGUUGAGCUAACCCAUACUAAUUACCCGUGAGGCUUAACCAUACAACACCCAAGAAGUGUUC
RNAcentral lists this ribosomal RNA (128 nucleotides) under Aeromonas caviae. Its description in RNAcentral is "partial 23S ribosomal RNA". The stretch from base 1 to 108 matches the Rfam family "Bacterial large subunit ribosomal RNA", at positions 2813 to 2925 of the family's 2925-position model. The record is from RNAcentral. RNAcentral also lists the same sequence under 1 other name. Lineage: Bacteria; Pseudomonadati; Pseudomonadota; Gammaproteobacteria; Aeromonadales; Aeromonadaceae.